UAAUUAUUUCAAAGCAUUAGUUUUCACUAGCCAUGGAAAUCUUCACAAAGAAACUCACUCCUAUUGAUUUUGAUAGAGGAUUGGAGCUACCUGAUAAACCACGAAGGUCUAAUAGGGUGCCUAUCAAGAAUCCAAGAUAUGAGGGUUGAGCUGGGACACGUAUUAUGAGGAUUCAGCUGUGGGCAAUUGCUGAAUUUGUUUAAUUUGUUUUUUUUGAAUUGGUCAAUAAAGUUAGAAGGAAUAAGUCAAUUAGUGGGGGCUAUUUCUCUGUCAACUAGCCGUUCCACGUCCUUCUAAUUAGCGAAGUAGUUAAGUUUUUAUUUGUAUUUAAAUCAUUGUUUCCAGCAAGUUGAGGACAAGAAAAGUAUUACAAGGUUUAUUCUCACCUUAAGCAGAGUAUUUUCUUAUUUUCUUAAAGGCUUUGACUGGGACCUAACAUUGGUAUCAGAGCUUUCACACUAUGACUACCAAUAAAGAGAGGAUCGAGAAUUUAGAAGCAGCUAUUGGGGGACUUCAAGACAAUUUCAACAAGAUGGAACUGGGUGUUACUGACAAAUUACAACAGCUAGAGGCUGCUAUUAGCAGAAUUUCUGAAGUACUGCUUCCAAGGCAAGAGCCGAACUCUAGCAAUGUCCAAGAACGCAGUGGACAAGCCUUUGGUGCGCGAUCUCGUGACACCACAGACGGUGGCCGCUCAAUGUUCUCCUCCAAAUUGGCUAAGCUCGAAUUUCCCAAGUAUUUUGGUACUGACCCAACUGAAUGGCUCACGCGUGUUGAUCAAUUUUUUGAAUACCAGGGCACUUUGGAAGCACAAAAAGUGUCUUUGGCUUCUUUUCAUUUGGAAGGCGAAGCAAAUCAAUGGUGGCAGUGGUUACGCAAGGCUUAUCAUGAGGACAAAAAGGAGGUAUCAUGGGAGAUUUUUGUGGAAGAAUUAUGGGCUCGUUUUGGUCCCACGGAUUGCGAAGAUUUUGAUGAGUCUUUAUCAAAAAUAAGGCAAACGGGAUCCUUACGGGAAUAUCAGAAAGAAUUUGAGAGGCUGGGAAACAGAGUGCAAGGGUGGACUCCGAAGGCUUUGGUGGGUACUUUUAUGGGUGGUCUCAAGCCUGAAAUUGCUGAUGGAAUUCGGAUGUUUAAGCCAAAGUCCUUGAAAGAAGCCAUCAGUUUGGCACGGAUGAGAGAUGAGCAGAUGAUUCGUCAAGAGAAACCACAUCGGCCACUCUACAGAACCUCUGAUCAUUCUGAUCGACCAUUCAAGCACACUGACGUCUCUAAUCGUCCAUUCACCAGGUCUGUUGGCGUCUCUUCACCUUUUAAAACCCGUCUGCAUCACCUAUGAAGCGAUUAACAUGGUCUGAGAUGCAACAAAGGCGUGCUCAAGGCCUUUGCUUCAAUUGUGAUGAAAGGUUUGUAUUGGGGCACAAAUGUAAGGGGCCGCAGCUGUUAUUGCUUGAAAGCAGUUAUGAAGAUGAUGAGAUUGAUAAUGAGGAACCUGAAAUUUCACUCCAUGCUCUCACGGGGUGGUCAACAGCUAGAACCAUGAGAGUCUCGGCCAAAGUGGGACAUCAUGAAUUGAUUGUGCUUAUUGACAGUGGGUCAACCCAUAAUUUCAUCAAUGAACGGGUAGCUGAAAUAUUGCAUUUACCGGUGGUGCCCACUGAACCCUUUGCUGUGAAAGUGGCUAACGGAGUUCCGCUAAGGUGUCAGGGGAGAUUUGACAAUGUGCAUGUCUUAUUGCAAGGUAUUCCAUUUACCUUAACUCUUUAUUGGGUUGGAUAUGGUGUUGGGAGUCCAGUGGCUAGAACAGUUGGGAACGGUGGGUUGUGAUUGGAAGAGGAUGACGAUGAAGUUUUCAUGGAUGAAUCAGCAUCAUCAAUUGGAAGGAAUUGGCAAUCAACCAAUUCAGCCGAUACAGGUUCAAGCACUGUCGAAGGAGCUGAAGCAGGGCAAUUCUAUUUUUGCUGUGUGUCUACAGCCGGCUGGGGAAGAAACACCACAGAUGAACCGACCUGAUAUGCAACAAUUGUUACAAGAAUUUGCGGACAUUCAUCAAGAACCACAACAGCUCCCUCCCCAAAGAGAAAUAGACCACCACAUCACCCUCAAAGAAGGAACUGAGCCCAUCAAUGUCCGGCCAUACAGGUAUGCCUAUUUUCAAAAAGCUGAGAUUGAAAAGCAAGUUCAUGACAUGUUAAAAUUGGGGCUAAUUAGAUCUAGCACAAGUCCAUUUUCUUCUCCUGUGUUGUUAGUNNNNNNNNNNNNNNNNNNNNNNNNNNNNNNNNNNNNNNNNNNNNNNNNNNNNNNNNNNNNNNNNNNNNNNNNNNNNNNNNNNNNNNNNNNNNNNNNNNNNNNNNNNNNNNNNNNNNNNNNNNNNNNNNNNNNNNNNNNNNNNNNNNNNNNNNNNNNNNNNNNNGUCCGGGUCCAAUCCCCUUAGGAAUAUCCACCCAAAAGCUGGCGUGUGGCACACACAAAUGGGUCAUUAUGGAGUAAUUUAGGUUAUGCCCGUUUAGGUUUAAUGUAAUGACUCCUUCCCACGAUUUCAGGGCGGUCAAUGAAUUUCCAUAUUUUCGUUCCUUUACGUUCGCAAAAUUUGUAUUUAGUUUUCUUUGAUGAUAUUCCUAAAUCUAUAGCCCCCCAAUUGGACCCAUGCAUAUUGAAACAUGUUAAACCACCUUUUGAAAUAUUAAGGCAUCAUCAGUUUUUCAUCAAAUUGAAUAAGUGUGUGUUUGGGCAACAAGAGGUGAAGUAUUUGGGGUCACAUUGUGACGUCCCAAGGUGUGAAGGCCGACAAGGGCAAAAUUCAAUCUAUGCUUAAUUGGCCCUGCCCAACUAAUGUUUCUGAAUUGCGAGGGUUCUUAGGCCUUACAGGUUACUACCGGAAGUUUGUUCGCAAUUAUGGAAUCAUUGCCCGACCACUCACAAAUCUUUUGAAGAAGGGGCUAUUUCGGUGGACAGAGGAGGCAGAUGCGGCAUUCCUUGCCUUGAAGCAAGCGAUGACUUCAACUCCUACGCUUGCUAUGCCUAAUUUUAAUGAACCUUUUGUCAUUGAAACUGAUGCUUCAGGUACUGGUAUUGGGGCGGUGUUAACUCAGCACGGGAGACCCAUUGCAUUCAUGAGCCGAGCAUUGGGGGUCACUAAACUGUCAUGGUCCACAUAUGCCAAAGAAAUGCUUGCCAUUGUUCAAGCUAUUCGGUUGUGGCGUCCGUACUUGCUGGGCAGGAAAUUUUUCAUACACACUGAUCAUUGCAGCCUCAAGUACUUGAUGGAGCAGCGCAUUGUCACCCCAGAACAGCAGAAAUGGGUGUCCAAAUUAGUAGGGUAUGACUACGAAAUCACUUAUAAGCCGGGAAAGGAGAAUUCUGCCGCUGAUGCCUUAUCAAGAGUAAUUGGCAGCCCUAGCCUUAAUGCACUAUUUGUUCCUCAAGCAUCUUUGUGGCAGACUCUCAAGGAGGAAGCCAACCAGCAUCCUUACAUGAUCCGUAUUGGCAAACUUGCUACUGCCAAUCCGGGAGCUCCCUAUAAAUGGUUGAAUGGUUUGGUGUGUUACAAUAACCGAGUAGUCAUUCCCCCUAAUUCAACUCUUGUCCAGCUUCUAUUACAGGAAUUCCAUGAUUCACCUUCUGGAGGUCAUUCGGGGGUGUUACGCACAUACAAAAGAAUGGCGCAACAAUUUUAUUGGCCAUCCAUGCAUAGAGUGGUUCAGCAAUAUGUUGCUUCUUGCACGGUUUGCCAAAAGAAUAAGGCUGAUACUUUAUCUCCAGCCGGGCUUCUACAACCGCUGCCAGUUCCUUGUCAAAUCUGGGACGAUAUUACCAUGGAUUUCAUUGAAGGGUUACCACCUUCUAAUGGUAAAAGCACCAUUUUUGUGGUCGUGGACCGUUUAAGCAAAUCUGCUCAUUUUUUGGCUUUAGCACAUCCUUACACGGCCAAAAUGGUUGCUGAGAAAUUUGUGGAGGGGAUUGUCAAGCUUCAUGGCAUGCCGAAGUCCAUUAUUAGUGAUCGGGAUCCUAUCUUCAUCAGUCAUUUUUGGCGUGAAUUCUUCAAGAUGUCAGGGACAAAGCUGCACAUGAGUUCCGCUUAUCAUCCCCAAACCGACGGUCAAUCGGAGGUGGUUAACAGGUGUGUUGAGCAGUAUCUUCGAUGUUUUGUUUCUCAACAACCUCGAAAGUGGUGUUCUUUUCUUGCAUGGGCUGAAUUUUGGUACAACACCACAUUCCAUUCCUCUAUCGGGAUGUCUCCUUUUCAAGCUCUCUAUGGCCGACCACCACCGAGCAUCCCGAAUUAUCAGAUUGGGGCCUCUUCAGUGCACGAGGUGGAUCAGACUAUGAUUUCUCGUACUUCUCUUUUACGUCAGCUCAAAAUUAAUCUGCAGGCUGCAAUUAAUCGAAUGAAGCAGGGGGCUGAUUCCAAAAGACGGGACGUGAACUUCCAAGUGGGGGAUUUAGUCUUUCUCAAACUACAUCCUUAUCGCCAACAAUCUCUGUUUCGGAGACCAGCUCAGAAGUUGGCCAGCCGUUUUUAUGGUCCUUAUAAGGUUGAGGAAAAGGUGGGAAAGGUUGCUUACAAGCUUCAGCUUCCUACAGAUGCUCGAAUACACCCUGUUUUUCAUGUUUCACUUCUCAAGAAGCAAGUUGGAGAGUCCACGGUCACCAGCGCAGAACUGCCUCCCAUUACUGAUGAUGGUGAGUUUGUUUUAAAACCUAUUGCUGUGUUGGAAACCCGAUGGGUGCGGAAAGGGUCUACUUUUGUUGAGGAACUCCUUGUCCAAUGGGAACACUUGUCAAAGGAGGAUGCUACGUGGGAAAAUGCACAGGAGCUGCGUGACAAGUUUCUGUCCUUCAACCUUGAGGACAAGGUUCUAAUUCAAGACAGGGGCAAUGAUAAACCACGAAGGUCUAAUAGGGUGCCUAUCAAGAAUCCAAGAUAUGAGGGUUGAGCUGGGACACGUAUUAUGAGGAUUCAGCUGUGGGCAAUUGCUGAAUUUGUUUAAUUUGUUUUUUUUGAAUUGGUCAAUAAAGUUAGAAGGAAUAAGUCAAUUAGUGGGGGCUAUUUCUCUGUCAACUAGCCGUUCCACGUCCUUCUAAUUAGCGAAGUAGUUAAGUUUUUAUUUGUAUUUAAAUCAUUGUUUCCAGCAAGUUGAGGACAAGAAAAGUAUUACAAGGUUUAUUCUCACCUUAAGCAGAGUAUUUUCUUAUUUUCUUAAAGGCUUUGACUGGGACCUAACACUACCACCCCGUUCUAACCUAGAACCCCUGCAACAUUUUCAAGGGACCAUAGAAUUGUCCACCAUAGUUGAGUCAGCUGCAGGAACCCGUUUACCGGAACCAGUGACAAUUCACUGCUCAACCAAAAGCGGAAGCCUUGUAUUUAAAACAGGUUGGUAUGCUAUUGCUCGCGAUGUUGGCCUCAAAAGUGGAGACACUGUGACUUUCUAUCAGGAGGUUAACGGAGGAGCACAGUUCAAAUUGAAAGUGAGAAAUGUUCGUUAAAGUAAAGAAGAAAUGUGAGGGAAACAGUGUCUUCCAUACAUGCAUGAACGUCCGAGUGCACGUCCUUUUUUUUCUUCUUUGUUCUGUCUCCUGCAAUCUUCGUGUCUAGUUUCUGUCCGGUGUCAGCAGUUGAGAAAACUUUUCUCAAAAUCAUCUCCUGCAAUCUUCGUCUCUGGUUUCCACAAUUCCUUGCAUGUGUGAGGAAAUUAUGAAUAAUUAGUUUCUUCUUUAGAUGAAAGAGUUUGUCUGUGAUUGUAAUGUGUUUUGAGCUUUAAUUUUGUGAUUUUUGGUAACAAAAUUAUUAUGUGUUGUGAAUUACUUUAAAAACUUCAAUGAGAUGUGAUUUGAUUCAUCAGCUUAAACUGAAAUUAUAUAUUAAAAUGGUCGAGGGAUAUAUAGCUGGAAGCAAGUAUUUGACUGAAAGUGAUUCAAAACCACUUAUCAUCUUUCGUGCAUAAAUUGUACUAACUUCAUUCUCUCUUUAUUCAAUGCCAUUUAUCGACCAAUUAAUCGUCAACAGAAGAAAACCAAACGAUGAACGUCGCAUAAUAUUUAUUAUAAAAAAAAAAUAAUUGAAUGCUUGGAGAUGGUUGCCAACUAGCAUUUCUAUCCCAAAACCCUAAGACCAAUUCGACAGAAAAGAAAUUGCUUUUGAAAAGUCAUUAAAUGUUGAUAAGAGUUUGAAAUUGAUGAAAAAUAGAAUAAACAUCAGAUUUUGCAACAAGUGACUUCCACAAAUAGUGCCUUCUCUUUUGCUGGAAUUUGGAAAGGUAUUGUCUCUCCUAAGGUAGAGAUCUUUUGUUGGAUGGCUAUCAUUAACCGAAUCAACACCCGGAGUAUGUUGGUUCGAAGAGAUAUUUUGGGUAGCUCAGAAUCUAAUUGCCCUAUAUGCCUAGUGGAGGAAGAGUCGGUGGACCAUAUCCUGCUGCACUGCCAUAAGCAUUGGCUCAUUUGGUCCAAAAUCAUUAAGUGGUGGGGUUUAGUUUGGUGCUGCCCAGAGAGCUUCUCAGAUUUGUGGUCGCAGUGGACUUCCCUGGUACAUUGUCACUUUCAGAGGAAGGCGUGGCUGAUGUUGUUCUUCUCAGUGGCAUGGUCUCUUUGGCUUCUUUGAAAUGAUCUAAUUUUCCAACAGAAGACACCUGACUAUGAUUCAAUAUUAUUUCUUUUUAUCACCCGUUUAUGCCUACGGCUAAAAGCUAUCCAUUCUGAUUUCCCAUACUCCCCUACAGAUCUGAUCAGAUCGGCAGAUGACCUGCUUUGGUGGUCCAAUGCUCACUCUUUCAGAAUUAUAAUAUGUGGUCUCCUCCUAUGAUUAAUAGCCUUAAAUGGAACGUAGAUGGCUCUUCUCUUGGUAAGCCAGGCCCCUCUGGAAUAGAUGGUGUGCUGCAAAAUCACCAUGGCCAUCUUCUUGGUAUGUUCUCUAUUCCAGUUGGGAUUUUAGACUCUAAUAUUGCUGAGUUAAGGGUUAUUGUCAAAGCCAUUGAACUAUCAGCAUCUAAUUGUCUCCUCCACCAUCAACAUCUCAUCAUAGAAUCUGACUCUGCCAAUGUUAUUAGCUGGAUGCAUAAGCCUCACAUCCGUCCCUGGAAGCAUCACAAUCUUUUCUCCUCUGUCAAUAGACUGAAUGCAUUUUUUGGCUCAAUCACCUUUGUCGCACGUGAAAUGUGUCGCGGCGAUCGCCCACCCACACUCAAUUGUGUGUGGGUCUGGAAAAUAUAGGGAGACAAGGAAUUCUUGUCUCUUAUCAGUGGAAAAAAUAGAAUGGGAGUCGCCACCUAGUAUUCUGGUCACUAGGAACCCUAACUGGUCUCAGAGAUCGGGUACGGAGACUGGUUGUGUAAAGGGAAGGUAUUAACACCCCAAAUACGCCCUACCUAAAGGUAAGCUGCAUUGUUUUAUUUGUCUGAUCAAAAUCUAAGGUUUGGUCGCGUUUUCUAAUUGUUGGUCCUGGCUGUCUAAGAUUCAAGAAAGCCCUCCUCAGUAAGGAGGUUCUUAUCUAUGGGGCAAGCCUAACCGUUCUAAUAUCUAUAAAAGAAAACUAUCUUUUUAAUAUUGGGAAUACGUUUUACAUAUAAAUUCAUAAUCCUUGAUAUUUAAAAGAAAAAAAUAUUUUUUGAUUUUUUUGAAAUAUUGGCCAAGUUCUCGUGACUUUAAUAAACUGGUUAUUAAAGCCGAAAUGCAUGCUAAAACAUUUUUUUUUUGAAGUUUUCUUUGUUGUAUGAAAAUAUGAUGUAAUUUUUUCUUUAAGAGACUUGGCCGUAUGCAUGAAAACAAAAACAUUUUUUUUUUCAAAGUUUUGACGAAAACCGGGUAUUUUAAUACCGGAUUUGUAUCUUUAUGGUAUAAAAAUACAAACCAAUAUUAAACAAAAUUCCAUAACAAAAUACACGGGGAAAUCACAAAUUUUUCCGAAAAUAUUUUUUUGAAAAUUUUUGGAACUGGGCCAGACCCGGCCCAAAAAAAAAAAACUGGGCCGAAUAAGCUACAGGGCUGGACUCAGCCCAGCCGCGUGGGCUGGGCUGAUGUUCCCACCCAAAAGAACAACAGGCCGGUUGCUGGUUACUGUGCUGAGAACAGUAACCAUUGAAUUAUAAUUAGGUGGUUACUGUGCUCUACACAGUAACCACCUAAUUAUAUUUCAUUUGCUGCAGAACGUGAAUUGCUCACGUUCUGCAUGCAAAUGAAGGCGAACCAAAAAAUGGACAGCAGAGGGGGAAGAGGGUUACCUGGAAUGAGCCUGGAUAGAUGGGCUGACGGUGGUGCUGGUGACCAAUUUGGCGGUGGUGUUGCUGCGGCCUUCUUCCUCCUCCCUGCUGUUUCGGUGCUGCUUUUUCUCUUUAUUUCCUUUGCUCCCUCUGUCAACAACGUUCUUCUCUCUCUGCAGCGGCUUCGUGGAGAUGCUGGUGGUGGCGGCCUGGGGGAGUGGCUUGGACGAUGGUCGGCCUUUCUUCCUCUUCUUCUCUGCGUUUUUCUUCAGCUCUGUUCGCCUUUGUUUCUGUUUCUUCCUUCUGCUUCUCACGGGGCUGUUGUCGACUGGGAGGGCAAUGGCAGCUGGCGGUGAUGCUGGUGGCGGUGGAGAGGAAUCCGACUAUGCCUCACGGUGGUUAUGAAGGUGGCAGUGGCUGGGAAGCCCGAUGACAGCAGCGGUUUUCUUCUUCUUCUUCCCCGUGCAGAGGCGCAGGUUGCUGCCUUUUCUUCAAUGGUGCAGCAACGGGUGGGAGGAAGAUGAUGAGCUGAGGAAGGCUGACUAUGGCGUGGGCAGUGCUGCUGUGUUUGUGCUCCUGGUGGCGUGGGUGUCGCGGCAGCCGGCUGUGGUCGCUCUUCCUCUUCUCUUUUCUGUCAUUGCUUCUUCUCUCUGUUUCUGUCACCUUGUUUCUCUCCAAACAAUUCUCUGUCUCUCUCUCUCGGUUUCCCCUUCUUUCUCUUUUUUUCUACUCCUUCUCUGUGUUGUCAUUCUCUCUUUUUUUACCCCCCUCAUUCGGCACCCCCUCCUCGAGUAUUUAUAGGCAAAGGAGGAGAGGUUCACCAUACCCUGUACAAGCACAGGGCAUGGUGGUCGGGGCAUGGGUCUUCUGCUUUUCGUCAUGGUGGGGGGCAUGGGUCUCCUGUUUCUCCAUUAAUGAGGGUAUGGGUUGUGUAAGUAGUUAGGCAAGUGGGGAGGUAGAGAAGGAGAGGGUGAGCGGGAAAAAGAUUUCAAAAAUCUUCUUCUCCCUUGUCUCUGCAUUUGCAGGGGAGAAAAGCUGCACAGUGCCGUUCAAAACGGCACCGUGCAGUUUUUUUUUUUUUUUUUUUGAAGAAAAGGAAAAAAGAUUUGGGGUGACCCAAAAAUGGGUUAUGACAGUUGCCCCCCUCUUUACAAUGCUUACGGAGCAAAGACUUUGCGUAGUAAGCUUGUAAAGAAAACAAAAGGAAAGAAAAUGAUCUGAUUAUCUUGGGCAACCUGCCCACACACGCUCACAGUAGUCUAUUUUCAGGGGCGACCAACCCACACACUCACACUGGUCUAUUUUCACGGGCGACCUGCCCACACACGCUCACACUGGUCUAUUUUCAUGGGCGACCUGCCCAAGUAGAAAAAGAAAGAGUGGUCUCAUUGUAAUGGGUGACCUACCCAGGUAAAGGAAUGGUCUCAUUGUAAUGGGUGACCUACCCAGAUAAAAAAAUAAAACAUGAAGAAUGGUCGAGUUGUAAUGGGUGACCUACCCAAAAAUGGGAAAAAGGAAGAGUGGUCGUGUUGUAAUGGGUGACCUACCCAAGUGGAGGAGUGGUCUCAUUGUAAUGGGUGACCUACCCAGAUAAAAAAAAAAAAACAUGGAGAAUGGUCGAGUUGUAAUGGGUGACCUACCCAAAAUAGGAAAAAGGUAGAGUGGUCGAGUUGUAAUGGGUGACCUACCCAAGUAGAGGAAUGGUCUCAUUGUAAUGGGUGACCUACCCAGAUAAAAACAUGGAGAAUGGUCGAGUUGUAAUGGGUGACCUGCCCAAAAUGGAAAAAAGGUAGAGUGGUCGAGUUGUAAUGGGUGACCUACCCAAGUGGAGGAAUGGUCUCAUUGUAAUGGGUGACCUACCCAGAUAAAAAAAACAUGGAGAAUGGUCGAGUUGUAAUGGGUGACCUACCCAAAAAUGGAAAAAAGGAAGAGUGGUCGUGUUGUAAUGGGUGACCUACCCAAGUGGAGAAAUGGUCUCAUUGUAAUGGGUGACCUACCCAGAUAAAAAAAACAUGGAGAAUGGUCGAGUUGUAAUGGGUGACCUACCCAAAAAAAGGAUGGUGAGGGCUCAAAGGCGCACUCGAAAGGAGGUAGGGUUAGAAAACGCACUACCUAAGAAACGGUGGCUCAAAGGCGCACUCGAAAGGAGGUAGGGUUAGAAAACGCACUACCUGAGAUGUGAGGGCACAAAGGCCUACUCAAAAGAGAAGGUGUGAGGGCUCAAAGGCGCACUCGAAAUGUGGUGUAACACCAAUCUGUUAAUGAUGAAAGCAAUGCAUUAUGAUUGAUAUGCAUGUAUACUUACCUGAGAAAUAUAGGUCCCCAUUUCUUCAUGGUGUCUUUAUUUUCUCAAAAGUUGGAGUGUUGGUAGUGAACUUCGAUGGCUUUUUCGCUCUCGCUUACUCGAGUCAUCUCUUGUGAUCUUAACUUCUGGGAAGGGCUUGAUAUCAUCAUACUUCUUUGUCCUCCACCCUUUAUCUCAAGGGUUGCCAAUUUUGCCCGGCAUUUUCUUAGAAGGGAAUCAUGAAGCCAGCCCUACCAGGAGUUUUUUUUUUAUUGCCCCCCAGCUUGAUCAUGCCCCCAAGUAUUCAAUUCGGGUUUGCGGAUGAGGCUAUGUGAAGGAAGGUUUGACAAGGAGUUGUUUUCAUGCAGAAAUUUUUGGAAUUUCAAAGUUAUUCCAUACACAGAAUUCAUUUUGACAUCGAUUCAAAGCAAACUCAUUCUGAAGAAAUUCAAGUGAUUCCUAUGGAGAGGUUUUCAGAAGUGAUGAAAACUUUUUAUUUUGAUUUUGGUGAAAAACAUGAAGUGACACUUGGUUGGUCAAAAAGGUUUAAGAUUUAAUUUGAGGGUUUCAAAGAACCAAUGUUCAAAGCAUUCAUUUUAUUUGCAUGAAUAAUGACUUGGUUUGCAUGAGAAAGCACUGCCUACCGAUCCAGAUUGCUUGCAUUUGAUCAAAAAGGGCUUGAUUAGGCAUGUAAUGUAGGUUUGAGCUCUUGGUUAUGAAGAACUGGAUAUUUGCAAGCUCAAAAGGUGUUUAAGGGAUUUCAAAACUAAGGAUCACUUGUGCUUGUUUCCUGACCUUUUGUCUUUUGAAUGUCUUUCCAAAAUUAUCUAUUGUGCCCCCCCAGUGUUGGGCUUGGGCUCUUUCUCUUUGUUUUUGUUUUCUUCAUUUGGUUGAGCAUCUCAUUUUUUCUUUUUUCUUUUUUUUAUGCUCAAAAUUUUUUUUGGAUCCUUUGGAUUUUUCUUCAUGCCCCCAAGCUUUGUUUGGGCACUUUCAAACGUUGAGGUUUUUUCUAUGUCUCUCGCACCUGCCCCCCAGUGUGGGGUGUGAUCCUAGUCGAGGUUAUUUCCAAAAAACGUUACCAGGCUCAAAAGGGGACUGCAAAGGAUAUAUUUCAGCCUUGUGAAAGGAUUAUCAAAGAUGGCCUUUCUUCAUCUCAAAUGCAUGCAUUUAGGAUCGGUAAGCCUUGCUUUCAUGCGAGUAUGCAAAAUGAUUUCUCAUUAUUCAUUCAAAUAAAACUCAACUUUUAGAGUCACUUCAUGGUGUUUUUGUUUUUGUUUUUUUUUUAGGUUUUCUCGGAGUAUGGUUACCUUUCUAAGGAAUCACUUGAAUUUCCAGAACUGUUUGUUUUGGACAAACACCGACAUGAUUUCUGUUUUUGUACUAAACUUGGAAUUCCCAAAAAAAAUCCUUGUGAACAUGUAUGAUCGAUGCAUAAUUUUGGAGGGAAAAAGGGAAACACAUCAGUGGUUUCGUGGGUGAAGAUUGAGCUUAGUGUGUUAUUUGCAUGAAAUGGCAACAAAAAUAAAGGUACAUCAUGAAUACAGGAAAACAUAUGAUCUUAUUUAACAAGAAAGGCUCAUUUGACAGAGAAAGUCUUGUGGCAUUAUGAGCCGAAUUACCAACAAGACUGAAACAAGUUAAAAUAGACAUGAUCAAACAAAAUGAAAUAAUAGGGUCGACUUCAUUCUUCCAAUUUGGUAAAUCUUCUCUUAGGCUAGCCUCACCCACAACAACUCUUGUAGAGGUCCCAUUGACGGCGGGGACAAAAACUGUGGUCAAAAUUUAAGUUCUUCAAAAUUGAGGCUACUUUUUUUCGCACCCUGCCUUGACCAUCGAUGCUUUCUGAGCAUUCUGCCUCUAGUGCCUUUACUGAUCCACAACUUCAAGCAUGAUUAGGUAGAGGGUUCGUGUUCACAUUAGGAGCGUCUUCCAAUUCUAUCCACCCUGCCUUGAUUAAUUGCAAAAGCUUUCUCUUGAAGGCGUUGCAAGUAUGAAUGCUAUGUCCAACAACACCAGCAUGAUAUUCGCAAGUGAGCUCUGGCUUGUACCAAUUAGGGUAAGGUGGCUGCACAGGCGUCAGAGGUUCGGGAGCUACCUGCCCGAUGCUUACUAGCUUCUGGUACAUCUCAUUCAAGGGUAGCGGUAAUGGAGGUAGUUGUUCUUGGACCUUUUGGUAAUUUCCAAUUUGGCUUUUGGCUUGAAAGUUUUGGGGCUCAGGUUUUUUGAUGUCGGCAACUUGGGAUGGAGUGUGGUAGUUUUGGGAUGAGGUUUUCCUACCCUUAUAGUCGUCUCCAAUAUGGUUGACAUCUUUCCUUUCGAAGCCUCUUUUCUCGGUGGGUGCAGAAAUUCUACCACUCUUGACGCCUUGCUCUAUACGCUCACACACUACCACAGCGUCAGUGAAUUGUUGUGCCGAACUACCCAUCACAUGCUCAUAAUAUGGUGCUUUGAGUGUGUUGGCAAAUAAAGUGACCAUCUCCUUAUCCAAAAGUGGAGGAUGGACUUGAGCAGCUGAUUCUCGCCAUCUUUAAGCAUAUUCCCGUAUGCUUUCUUUGUCCCUUUUCUCUAGAUUGGACAAGCUGGUUCUGUCGGGAGCAAUGUCCAUGUUGUACUUAUAUUGCUUGAUAAAAGCAUCCAUCAGGUCUUUCCAUCUCCGGAUCUUUGUGUUAUCCAAUCUCAUGUACCAGCUCAAUGUUGCCCCACUUAAGCUAUCUUGAAAAAAGUGCAUCAGUAGUUUUUCAUCAUGUACUACUUCUGCCAUUUUAUUGCAAUAGGAUUUGAGAUGAGUCAUGGGGCAUUGUGUUCCACUAUAUUUGAUGAACUCCGGAACACGAAACUUUUUCGGGACAACCACAUUUGGGACCAGACAAAUCUCUGCUGCCCGUACUGGAUCAUAUAAGUCUACCCCCUCAAUUACUCUGAUUCUGGCUUCUAGCGCCUCCAUCUUAUCUUGAUCAAUUCUAUCAGAUGACUUGGCCUUGUGGGACUCAUUAGCAAAUGUAUUCAUGACUGCAGGGGCUGGUGCAGGUGUUGCUGACUGCACAAAUGUUGGAUUAUGUUGAGGCUCUUGACCAUGUUCGCUCAUUCUUUCUUCGGGCUGUGCUAUUGUUGGAAUCUGAUUAAAGGUGACCGGUCGGUUAGAAGGACCUUCACCAGAGGUAUUUCUUAGUGUUUGCUCGAGUAAGCUAGUGAGGCGAGCCACACUUGUCUUCAGAGACUCCAACUCUUCUUGAAAAUGGGCGUCACGGUGAGCGCGCUCUUCAUCUUCCAUGUUUCUCGCUCGAAGUCGGGUGUUGUAGACUCUUUGGGGACCUAUAUUUCAACCUGGAGCAUGUAUGUAUGUUAUUUACAAUGAAUGGAUGUAUGUGUACAAUGCAAAUGUAUGUACAUGCGUAUUAGGGAGUUCAUACUCUAAGGAUAGGUUUGGGCCAUUACAUGAUGGGUGGCUUUCUACCUGGUCUCAAAAGGAACUCUUGUUGUCCCAGUGAUCACCCUCAUGAAGGCAAUAUGGGGGCUCAGUAGGUAGUGGGAUGGCAUAUGCACCAAUCAUUACCAGUCUAAGCACUCAGCGAAGAGUUGGGGUUUACACAAACUUAAACCUUGACUAAAAGUCGUAAGGUAAGCUGCUAGUCCCCCACUUAACCUAAAGUUUUUUCAGUAUAAAUCGCCUCAAAUGUGAAUGAUGCAUGAAAUAAUUUUAUACAAUGCAUGAACAAAUAUGUACAAAAUUAAAGCAUAUGAGCAAAUGAGAAUGAAAGUUAACAAUAACACAAAACCAAACAAUAAAAAACGAUGAUCAGACAAAAACAAAGCUUAGUCCACAAGGUUCCCAGUGGAGUCGCCAUUCUGUCGCACGUGAAAUGCGUCGCGGCGAUCGCCCACCCACACUCAAUUGUGUGUGGGUCUGGAAAAUAUGGGGAGACAAGGAAUUCUUGUCUCUUAUCAGUGGAAAAAAUAGAAUGGGAGUCGCCACCUAGUAUUCUGGUCACUAGGAACCCUAACUGGUCUCAGAGAUCGGGUACGGAGACUGGUUGUGUAAAGGGAAGGUAUUAACACCCCAAAUACGCCCUACCUAAGGUAAGCUGCAUUGUUUUAUUUGUCUGAUCAAAAUCUAAGGUUUGGUCGCGUUUUCUAAUUGUUGGUCCUGGCUGUCUAAGAUUCAAGAAAAGCCCUCCUCAGUAAGGAGGUUCUUAUCUUAUGGGGCAAAGCCUAACCGUUCUAAUAUCUAUAAAAGAAAACUAUCUUUUUAAUAUCGGGAAUACGUUUUACAUAUAAAUUCAUAAUCCUUGAUAUUUAAAAGAAAAAACUAUUUUUUGAUUUUUUUGAAAUAUUGGCCAAGUUCUCGUGACUUUAAUAAAACGGUUAUUAAAGCCGAAAUGCAUGCUAAAACAUUUUUUUUUUUUGAAGUUUUCUUUGUUGUAUGAAAAUAUGAUGUAAUUUUUUCUUUAAGAAACUUGGCCGUAUGCAUGAAAACAAAAACAUUUUUUUUUUCAAAGUUUUGACGAAAACCAGGUAUUUUAAUACCGGAUUUGUAUCUUUAUGGUAUAAAAAUACAAACCAAUAUUAAACAAAAUUCCAUAACAAAAUACACGGGGAAAUCACAAAUUUUUCAGAAAAUAUUUUUUUGAAAAUUUUUGGAACUGGGCCAGACCCGGCCCAAAAAAAAAAAAACUAGGCCGAAUAAGCUACAGGGCUGGGCUGAUGUUCCAACCUAAAAGAACAAAAGGCCGGUUGCUGGUUACUGUGCUGAGAACAGUAACCAUUAAAUUAUAAUUAGGUGGUUACUGUGCUCUACACAGUAACCACCUAAUUAUAUUUCAUUUGCUGCAGAACGUGAAUUGCUCACGUUCUGCAUGCAAAUGAAGGCGAACCAAAAAAUGGACAGCAGUGGGGGAGGAGGGUUACCUGGAAUGAGCCUGGAUAGAUGGGCUGACGGUGGUGCUGGUGACCAAUUUGGCGGUGGUGUUGCUGCGGCCUUCUUCCUCCUCCCUGCUGUUUCGGUGCUGCUUUUUCUCUUUGUUUCCUUUGCUCCCUCUGUCAACAACGUUCUUCUCUCUCUGCAGUGGCUUCGUGGAGAUGCUGGUGGUGGCGGCCUGGGGGAGUGGCUUGGACGGUGGUCGGCCUUUCUUCCUCUUCUUCUCUGCGUUUUUCUUCAGCUCUGUUCGCCUUUGUUUCCGUUUCUUCCUUCUGCUUCUCACGGGGCUGUUGUCGACUGGGAGGGCAAUGGCAGCUGGCGGUGAUGCUGGUGGCGGUGGAGAGGAAUCCGACUAUGCCUCACGGUGGUUAUGAAGGUGGCAGUGGCUGGGAAGCCCGAUGACAGCAGCGGUUUUCUUCUUCUUCUUCCCCGUGCGGAGGCGCAGGUUGCUUCCUUUUCUUCAAUGGUGCAGCAACGGGUGGGAGGAAGAUGAUGAGUUGAGGAAGGCUGACUAUGGCGUGGGCAGUGCUGCUGUGUUUGUGCUCCUAGUGGCGUGGGUGUCGCGGCAGCCGGCUGUGGUCGCUCUUCCUCUUCUCUUUUCUGUCGUUGCUUCUUCUCUCUGUUUCUGUCACCUUGUUUCUCUCCAAACAAUUCUCUGUCUCUCUCUCUCGGUUUCCCCUUCUUUCUCUUUUUUUCUACUCCUUCUCUGUGUUGUCGUUCUCUUUUUUUUUACCCCUCUCAUUCGGCACCCCCUCCUCGGGUAUUUAUAGGCAAAGGAGGAGAGGUUCACCAUACCCUGUACAAGCACAGGGCAUGGUGGUCGGGGCAUGGGUCUUCUGCUUUUCGUCAUGGUGGGGGGCAUGGGUCUCCUGUUUCUCCAUUAAUGAGGGUAUGGGUUGUGUAAGUAGUUAGGCAAGUGGGGAGGUAGAGAAGGAGAGGGUGAGCGGGAAAAAGAUUUCAAAAAUCUUCUUCUCCCUUGUCUCUGCAUUUGCAGGGGAGAAAAGCUGCACAGUGCCGUUCAAAACAGCACCGUGCAGUUUUUUUUUUUUUUUUUUUUUUGAAGAAAAGGAAAAAAGAUUUGGGGUGACCCAAAAAUGGGUUAUGACAACCUUCUCCCAUAUCUUUGGUGAAAGUAAUUGCAUGGCUAAACAAGGAGUGCGGAGAUCAAGUGAAUUUGUUUCCUCGUUUUGACUCCACCAUUAAUAUUAUGGCCUUGCUUAUGUGUCUUCUGUUGUUAUGCUGUUGAGUUUAUUUUUGUUCUGUUUUGUAGAGGACUGCUUAGCUAUGAGUUCAUUCGGAUGGAUAUUCUCUGGUUUUCUUUGCUUUUACUUAUCUUAGACUGUGUUCUAUCUUCUUUAUGGCCUUUUGCCAUAUUAAGAUAUUGUGCAGCUUCUGUACUAAUCUCGCCAGACUUUGGCGUUUAAAUGAUAUAAGUAUCUUUAAAAAAAAACAAGAAAAGCAAGUGAUAUUUGAUCAAAUUUCUCUCUUUGUUGUGCGCGAUGCAUUAGGAAAAAGAAAAAAAAGAUGGCAUCUUUAUAUAACCCCAUUAAUAAGUUAAUAGAUUAUUAUCAUAUAAAUCAAAUUUAAAACUUAAUUUUUUGAUGAUUAGUUAAUAUGAUAUUACAGUAAUUUUAACUAGAAUGUACCAUCAAAUAAAUUUAUGCCCUUAUAAACAACGUGAAAAGAUUUAAUUUGAGCAGUAGCUAGCGCGCUACCUAGUAUAAUACAUCGCUGUCAUAGCAUGCAGAAAAGAGCUAGCAUAUAUAAAAAUAGUUUAAUUUAAAAUUCAUAUCAUUUUUAUCCAAACAAAGUGUUGACAAACCAAUCAAUAGUUGAAUUGCUGACUGACAGUUGACCAUUUCACAAUUUAUGUCUAAAUGGUCGGUGGAUAUAUAGCUGGAAGCAAAUGACUGAUUCAAAACACUUAUCAUCUACCUUUGGUGCAUAAAUUGUUCUAACCUCACUCUAUCUUAAUCACAUGUCUUUUAUCGAUCUAUUAAACGUCAACACAAACGAUGAACGUCCAAUAAUAUUUAUUUAUUAUAUAUAAAAAAGAAUGUUAGAAUGUGAUGGAUUGAAGAUAUAUGUCGAGGGAGAAAAUAGUGCGUAUCCGUGCAUGCACUUAAAUUGCCGUAAGAACAUACCCUUUCGUAGGGCACGAAAUUGGAGUAGUAAUUAAUGAAUGCUCCAUCACUCACUGAAAAGGGCCAAAUCUUGGAGAUGGUCACUACCAUCUCUAUCAGAAAAACGUGAGACAAUUGCUGAUAAGAGUUUGCUUUCGAAAGUCAUUAGUUGCUGAUAAUAUCUUGCUUGUUCAAACUAUAGAGAUUUUUCUUACUGAAAGUAUUGACCAACAAAAACAUUGGAAUUCAGAGAAUUAAAUUGUUUCUAGAACAAUUAUGUGAUAAAAAGAGAGUGAAACAAGACAAAUAUUAAUUAAUAGGAUAAUUAUAUACCAUGUUGCCACUUAGUAGAGCCAUGUUUUUGAAAUAAUAACCUAUCAAUUCUUUUAGUUAAAUCCAGUUAAUCUAAUAGAUUAAUUUAUAAAUUGAUUCACCUGAUGAGUGAGUUAUGAUUUUACAUAUAAAUAUUAAAAAAUAAUUCCAUUUUAACUUUUAAUAAGAAAAAACUCAUAAUUUAAAAUAAUAUUAUUUUAAAUUAUCUCCCCAAGGACAGCCAUAAGUAGCGAAAUAAAAUAGAAAGGGGAUCCCUGUCAUGAUGGUGGUUCCUUUUAUCACAGCAGACGGGGCCCUUUUACCCUUUUGUCGGGUCUUCCAAGAUUGAUUGCUGCUGGGGAUUAUUUAAUCCAUCUCUCGUAUCCAAGUCUCAAUCUAGUAAGUAUGUUUUCCGAUGAUUUGACAGUAACGCUUGCACUUUUGAGCAACAAUAAGGGACAAUUUCCCUCACGCAGGCCCCACAAUUAUACGGAGCUGGUGAAGCCUAUCAGAAUUCUCACGCAGGUAAGAACAUGGACCGGCCAAUAUGAACAAAUAUAUAGUAGGCCAAGCAAUUAUCUUUUCCUCUGCAGAAAUGAUUCUUAAUAUUGCUUUUAAGGUUUGACGGUUACACGUGCAAAUGCUUCAUGUCCUGAUCUGAUGGAAUCUUGGAAACCGUACCCAAAUGGACCUACUUCAAUCAUGAAAAAUUAGCUACAAAUCUCCAAUAGCAUAUUGGAAAAGUGAUAUAUGCCACUUCAAUAUUAGGCAUUCAUUAUAAUAAAAUUAUUUUGAAAUAUUUUUUUAGUUUUUUAUUUAGACAUGCUAUACAUUUUUAGAAAGGUUGAGCAUAUCUUGAUCUAGUGAAUUUGUUAUCUCUCAUUCCUUUGUCUUUUUUACAAAGUUUACCAUCUCAGUUCUUUUACGAGACUUUUUGUCGUAAGCAAUGUAAAGAAGGGGAAACUGUCAUAACUUAUUUGUGGGUUAUUUCUCAAAUUCAUCUUUUUUCUUUCCAAAAUAAAAAUAAAUAAUAAUAGUAAAAAGACUGAUAUUUUGACAAAAAGCAAUCUGGGAGGAUUUCAAAUGUAGAAAAAAUCAAGUUGCAAUAAUAAUUGUACCCUAUUUACCCAAAACUGGAGAGACAAUGCACAUUCAAGGUCUUUGUCAAGGCACUUACAUGGAUCCCUUCAAUAAGAAUUCAUUUGGGUGCACGAGCCCAUAAUAAAUUGAAAAAGUCAUGUUUAUUCACACGAGUAAAUUUUUACCCGGAGCCAUAGAUAGACUACCGGUUAGAAACUCAUCAAAACCUUUAAACGACAUUCAAAAUCACAAUGCAGAUUACCUCAAGUAGGGUGUGCUAGGGGUGUUAUUACCUUCCCUCACCACAAUCAGUCCCUUAAUCUUGAAUCUUUGAUAAAACCAAUAUACCCGGAUUUCCUAGCGAGAUUAAACCCAACAACUAGAUGGAGACUCCUUUGACCCCCGAUGCCACGCAUCCAUAUGCGACAGGGUGCGACUCCCAUGACCCCCGAUACCGUGUGUUAACGUGCAAUAGAAUGAUGACUCCUUCGACCCCCCUGACACCACGCGUCCAUGUGCAACAAUUACUACAAUGUUUUUUUUCUCAUCAAUAGAUUGUAGAGUCAGAUUCUUAUAAUGCUAUCAAUUGCAUUAGAGGAACUAAUGAUAUGUGUAUUUGGCGCUUGCAAGGUGCGUUUAAUGUUAUUUUCAAUACACGCAAAAAGUUCUCUGGUGUUGAUUUUCAACAUGUUCAUUGAGAGAAGAAUGAAGUUGUAGUCUGGCCAAGCAAGCAUUUUUUGGAGAUAUUGAUCCAGUAGCCUGGCUUUAGCUUUAUUCAGUUUUAUUUUUAAUGUAUGUGAUUACGUGUCUUUUGUUUUGUUGUAAGUUUCUGUUAAGUCAUGUUAUUAAUAACUAUAACAGUGCUUAAUAAAUCAUGUUAUUAAUAACUAUAACAGUGCUUAAUAAAUCAUUAGUAUUUCAUAUAUAAAAAAGUGGCUAUUAAAUGGUUCAGUACAUGGACCGGCACACAAAUGAACCCUUGAAAUUAUAAAGUUCGAAUGCUACUACCACACUUGUUCAAAAAUUUGUAUUUAAUAAGUAUUUCUUCCUAAGUUUAAAAUUUAUAAUUAUAUAACAACAAGGCUUUCUAACAACAAGGCCUUCUAAUGAAACAAAAAAAAAUCUCAGUAAUAUGUUAAAUACUAUCAUAAAUACUAUCAUAAAUAACCACUUAAUCCAAAAAAAUAAGUAUUGAUUAAGUCAAAAAGCCUUUGAUAACCUUUUAAAGAAUCACUCAACAAAAACUGUUAGGUGAGUUACUUAUUUAUUUGAUUAUUUUAUUAGAAAAAUUAUUUUGUACAUAUGUGUUAUCAAUAAUCACCAAAACUCUCGCAUAAUUAUGGCGACUUCGAUACGCAAAGGGUAUGAAGCUCGACUAAACUCUCGCAUGUAUGAAGCUCGACUACGGCAACAUUCGUUUAGAGAUAGUCUUAUAUUUUUUCCGAUCUUGAAAUGGUCGAGGGAUAUAUAGCUGGAAGCAAAUGUUUGACCGAAAGUGAUUCAAAACACCUAUCUCCUGCAAUCUUCGUGUGUAGUUUCCUCAUUUCCUUGCAUGAGUGAGGAAAUUAUGAAUAAUUAAUUUCUUCUUUAGAUGAAAGAGUUUGUCGGUGAUUGUAAUAUGUGUUUGGAGCUUUAAUUUUGUGAUUUUUGGUAACAAAAUUAUUUUGUGUUGUGAAUUACUUUAAAAACUUCAAUGAGAUGUGAUUUGAUUCAUCAGCUUAAACUGAAAUUAUAUAUUAAAAAAGAAGCAAAUCAUUUUACUCUAAAUUAUAUAUUAAAGAAGAAGCAAAUCAUUUUUCAGAGUAAUUUAAUUAUGUUUUUUCCAAAAGAAGAAGAAAUAGCGCAUGAGGUAGUGCCAUUGAAGCUUAACUCUCAGCUAAUUUAAUUUUGAAUGAUAGAAUUGUUAAAAAAUAUUGAUGAAAAAAAGCUUGCAAAUGCACAACAAAAUAGCAAAAAAAUGAAUGGAGAUAAAAUUUGAGAGAGAAAACCUAAGGAGGAUGAAAUUAAAAAAUAAUUCAAAAAUAAUAAAUAACAAUUAAAAGAACGAUGACAAAUUGAAAAGAUUAAAAAUCAUAGGGGGUGUAAUUGAAAAACAUUUGUAAUUUGAUAAAUUAUUUAUAGAUUAAAAAAUGAUAAAGGGUGAAAUUAAAAAAAAAACUAUAGAGGGCUAACCCAAUAGAAUCAAUCCACAAAAAAAAGGAUAAAAAUAAGAAAACAUCAACUUUAAAAAAAAGAAAAAAAAAACCUACAAACCCGAGUAAAUCUUCUAAACUUGAUCUAAUCUCUAAAACCAAAUGAAAAAGAUAAGACGAGAAGCCCAAGCUCGACGAUAGGGGGCAUAACGAAUCAUUUUACAAGUCAAUCCUAAGGUCUAGAAACACAUGGAUGGACCAAAAGGAGGUCUGCUAGCAAGCACUAGUGAUCCUUUCAUACAAUAAGGAAUAUAAUAUGUAUUGAUCUUUACUUCGUUCAAGAACUUUCUUCUAUCUUGGGUACUCCAAUGAGCUGUCUCAACUACGGCAACAUUCGUUUAGAGAUAGUCUUAUAUUUUUUCCGAUCUUGAAAUGGUCAAGGGAUAUAUAGCUGGAAGCAAAUAUUUGACUGAAAGUGAUUCAAAACCACUUAUCAUCUUUCGUGCAUAAAUUGUACUAACUUCAUUCUCUCUUUAUUCAAUGCCAUUUAUCGACCAAUUAAUCGUCCACAGCAGAAAAACCGAACGAUGAACGGGCCACAUAGAUAAUAUUUAUUAUAAAAAAAAAUGAAUGUUGAUCCAUCACUCACUGAAAAGGGCCACAUAGAUAAUAUCUUGGAGAUGGUUGCUAAGUAGCAUUUCUAUCCCAAAACCCUAAGACCAAUUCGACAGAAAAGAAAUUGAAAUUGCUUUGGAAAAACAUUAAUUGUUGAUAAUAUAUCGUCAGUUCAAACUAUGGAUAUUUUUCUUGCUGAAGUUGUUGACUAACAAAUCAUGGGAAUUCAGAGAAUUCAACAAUUAAUUAUAUGUCGAAUAAGUUUAUACAUCAAUAAAUAAUAAAUACAGAUUGAAACACAACAUCACGCAACAAGCUAGCUGGCUUACCAUAAGAUCACUGCUGAGUUCUCUAUAAAUACUUGCCACCCCUGUCACUACAAAUACAUAAAACCUUCUUUAACCUAAUUAUUUCAUAGCAUUAGUUUUCACUAGCCAUGGAAAUCUUCACAAAGCAACUCACCCCUAUUGAUUUUGGGAGAGGAUUGGAGCUACCACCCCGUUCUAACCUAGAACCCCUGCAACAUCUUCAAGGGACCAUAGAAUUGUCUACCAUAGUUGAGUCAGCUGCAGGAACCCGUUUACCGGAACCAGUGACAAUUCACUGCUCAACCAUAAGAGGAAGCCUUGUAUUUAAAACAGGUUGGUUUGGCAUUGCUCGCGAUUUUGCCCUCAAAAGUGGAGAUACUGUGACUUUCUAUCAGGAGGUUAACGGAGGAGCGCAGUUCAAAUUGAGAGUGAGAAAUGUUUGUUAAAGUAAAGAAGAAAUGUGAUGGAAACAGUGUCUUCCAUACAUGCAUGAACGUCCGAGUGCACGUCCUUCUGUUUCUUCUUUGUUCUGUCUCCUGCAAUCUUCGUGUCUAGUUUCUGUCCGGUGUCAGCAGUUGAGAAAACUUUUCUCAAAAUUAUCUCCUGCAAUCUUCGUGUCUGGUUUCCUCAAUUCCUUGCAUGUGUUAGGAAAUUAUGAAUAAUUAGUUUCUUCUUUAGAUGAAAGAGUUUGUCUGUGAUUGUAAUGUGUUUUGAGCUUUAAUUUUGUGAUUUUUGGUAACAAAA
Molecule: long non-coding RNA, 22705 nt
Filed under: Populus trichocarpa (black cottonwood)
Lineage: Eukaryota; Viridiplantae; Streptophyta; Magnoliopsida; Malpighiales; Salicaceae
Description: long non-coding RNA (PTRI_LNC004386)
Source: RNAcentral